UACGUAGGGUGCGAGCGUUGUCCGGAAUUAUUGGGCGUAAAGAGCUCGUAGGCGGUCUGUCGCGUCUGCUGUGAAAUCCCGAGGCUCAACCUCGGGCUUGCAGUGGGUACGGGCAGGCUAGAGUGCGGUAGGGGAGAAUGGAACUCCUGGUGUAGCGGUGGAAUGCGCAGAUAUCAGGAAGAACACCGAUGGCGAAAGCAGUUCUCUGGGCCGUAACUGACGCUGAGGAGCGAAAGCGUGGGGAGCGAACAGG
RNAcentral lists this ribosomal RNA (253 nucleotides) under uncultured bacterium. Its description in RNAcentral is "partial 16S ribosomal RNA". It matches the Rfam family "Bacterial small subunit ribosomal RNA", at positions 524 to 776 of the family's 1533-position model. The record is from RNAcentral.